UUGGGAGGUCGGGAGAUUGUGGU
RNAcentral lists this non-coding RNA (23 nucleotides) under Cricetulus griseus (Chinese hamster). Lineage: Eukaryota; Metazoa; Chordata; Mammalia; Rodentia; Cricetidae. The record is from RNAcentral.